GGGAGGGACAGAUGAUUGAAAAAAUUGAACAGAAAGGCAGUCGUGUGUACAGAGCAGCCUGUGAGAUUCCAAGGAAAUUGAGCAACAACCGUGUCCAAUAAAAAAAGCUUUUUCUGGGCGUUGACAGCCAAUCAGAGGCAGAGCAUCAGAGUCCAUGUUGGUGUGCAGAAGGGCGUGUGAGCUCUAUUUAAACCCACGGCUUUGCACAGAUUACACGGACGCACUUAACCUGCAAAAGACAUCGUCACUGCGUACUCGAGCUGCAGGUAAAAUACUCUGACCUGUCUCUGUGGCUUUGUCACUUAGAGACAGUCACAUAAAUACAAAAAUAAAAGUGUCUUAGUUAUGGUUUAAUUAUUUCUGCAUACCAAAGGUUCACAAGUGUUAUGCAACAUUUAGAUUGUAUGCUUGGAAAUGUUUAAUAGUUUACUCCACUAAAGUUAAUACAGACCUGAUACAAAUGCAUUACUCUGCGGGGCUGCUGCGAUAUAAUGAUAUUUUAUUUUAUAUUGUAUGUCACAUCCUUUUGUUGUUGUUGUUGUUGUUGUUGAUUAUGUUGUUCUACCACUAUCCUAAUUUAAAACUAUCACUUUAUGCAUGUAGUUUUAUGUGCAGAAACUUGAAUAUAAUAGCCUUCAAACUGUUUUUGCAGACGUACUAAUGCUCAGUGUCCAAAUGAUUGUUCGUUUGUUUUUGUUUUUAUCUUUUUAACUACAUAUUUAUGAAAACCAAUUUGUAAGAACAGCCUCUGAGUUUAUUGGGCUUAUAUCAUGGUGUAAUAUGGCUUCAUAUUAUAGAAGUUGGCUUAAAGUGAGUGGCAGCGGUUGGGUCAUGUUAUUUUUUUUCUAACUGCCCAGCCCAGUAUAUCUAGCUUAAAUCAGGUGUGGCCUCAAUUGUGUACUUGUAUGAGCAUGUUAUGAAGAUAAUGUCUUUAGUGAUGAAAUAAUCAUGUGUUCCUGCUCUCACAAACUUUCUUCUCGAAACUCCCUCACUCCCUGUUUUAGUCAAUAUCUGUGUUUUUGAGUUUCUAGAAUUUCUUUCAUCUCCCUUUCUUAAUUUUUUCUUCUUUAGAAAUCUUCAAAAAUGUCAGACUGCCAAAAUAAUGUCAACCAGGAGGUGACGGAUUUUGACAAAAAAAAACUGCGGAAGAGUGAGACUCAAGAAAAAAACACGCUUCCAACAGCAGAUGGUAUGUGAUGAAAAGACAAAGUAAAAGUUAACCUCUAACAAAAACAGCAACUUCAAACACUUGAUCAUUUAUGGCGUGCAAGUCCACACCCAAGAUUUUAUGAUAUAGCGAAUGAACUGGUCUGAUAUAUUAUUGCAAGAUAAAAAGAUAUCUUGUUUAAAGCCACAGUGUAUGAAGAGGCAACGUCAGGCACUUCAGCCUCAUAUUGUACAGCAGAGAAAUGAAAUGAAGUUUUUAAAAGAAGUGAGUUUGAUGAGUGACUGAUGUAAGAUUUACUGUGACAUCAAGUCCCAGAGAGACAAAACUUAACUCCAAUAAGUGCUAAAAUGUUGAAGUUUAGGGGCUCCAUUUUGAUUUAUACUUCAUUGAACUGUUGUGUGAGUGAAAACACACCCUUUGCGAGACGUAGCUCCACUAAUGCAUUUUGUAAGUCAUAAACAGUCUUAAACAGAGUGCAGGUGGUGUCAACAGCCUUAAAGAUCUUGCUAUGACCACUAACUUAGCUCACAUUUACAGCAGAUAAAGUAAUAGAUAUUGCGCAAUCAUUGAUAUGGUUCUACAUUUUAUUUAGUAUUUAGUCCUGUGUAACAAGCUGUGAGCAUGGCGUUGAGUUUUGUGUGCAUCUUUCUGCUAUUUGAAUACGCAUUAUGUUGUUUUCCAGGACAAAGAUAAUCCAGCCUAAAGUCUACCAUAGCAGAGACUAAAAUUCCAAUAGCUUUACCUAUAGUUUUUGCAAAAGUAGAGCUAAAUUGCCGGAGUAGCUCUUCAAAUAUUUGAACUUCUGAUAGUGUUAGACAGAAACUGAGGGAGAGGAAAAGCUUACCAAUUACUUGAAGAUAUUAGCAAGACUGGGAAAGACCAAUUCAUUUCAAACCAGUGAUUUUGAAUUCAGAUUUUUGGGUUUGACUAAAAUUAAUUGAUUUUUUUUUCUAUAUCAGUAUGAUCUCUAAUUCCAGCAAGAGUUAGAAACUCUUCUUUUGUCUCCUGACUCAGUCACAGAUUGAUUGCCUUUUCUCUGUCUUUCUUUUAAUCCUGCAGACAUUAAACAAGAGAAAAAAGAGGAACAAGAGCAACAAAAGAAACAAGCCAAGGCACCGAAUCAAUCAUGAUUCCUCUCACUUACUCCUGUCCUGGUACCUGCUCUUCAUCCAGGCAGGAGUGCUGUCCAUCAUCUCCACCUCGGUUUCUGCUUUCUGUACCGCCAUGGCUGAUCCACAAUGGUGUUUGGGCUGAUGAUGGGGAAAAAUUAGUCUCUAUCCUCUUGAUAAAUCAAUGUAAUGGGUGAUUUUAGUGUGUGCUUUUCACGCGGAUUACAAAGGUUUGAAUUGUUUAAUUUGGCAGGUUCAAAAUCUAGGGGAAAAACCUAUUGCAUAGAUGAAAACUAAAGCUAAUGCUUUGUUUACAGCAGCAAAAGUAUGUCUGUAAAUUGUGCCAUAUUGGAUUUGUACUGAAAAACAACCCUUUCUAUUAUAUUUUUAUUUUAAUAAAAACUUUUGAAUAAGCUUUUAUAAGA
Non-coding RNA from Xyrichtys novacula (pearly razorfish), 2702 nucleotides. NCBI's taxonomy places the organism in Eukaryota, Metazoa, Chordata, Actinopteri, Labriformes, Labridae. The record is from the annotation of a GenBank genome assembly.